RNAcentral lists this non-coding RNA (30 nucleotides) under Homo sapiens (human). The record is from RNAcentral. Lineage: Eukaryota; Metazoa; Chordata; Mammalia; Primates; Hominidae.
UGAAUAGAGAGCUACAAGUGCUUGGUCUUU